This 497-nucleotide ribosomal RNA is filed under the name uncultured bacterium. RNAcentral's name for it is "partial 16S ribosomal RNA". It matches the Rfam family "Bacterial small subunit ribosomal RNA", at positions 28 to 507 of the family's 1533-position model. The record is from RNAcentral.
GAUGAACGCUGGCGGCGUGCCUAAUACAUGCAAGUCGAGCGAACAGACGAGGAGCUUGCUCCUCUGACGUUAGCGGCGGACGGGUGAGUAACACGUGGAUAACCUACCUAUAAGACUGGUAUAACUUCGGGAAACCGGAGCUAAUACCGGAUAAUAUAUUGAACCGCAUGGUUCAAUAGUGAAAGACGGUUUUGCUGGCACUUAUAGAUGGAUCCGCGCCGCAUUAGCUAGUUGGUAAGGUAACGGCUUACUAAGGCAACGAUGCGUAGCCGACCUGAGAGGGUGAUAGCCGACACUGGAAGUGAGACACGGUCAAGACUCCUACGGGAGGCAGCAGUCGGGAAUCUUACGCAAUGGGCGAAAGCUUGACGGAGCAACGCCGCGUGAGUGAUGAAGGUCUUCGGAUCGUAAAACUCUGUUAUUAGGGAAGAACAAAUGUGUACGUAACUAUGCACGUCUUGACGGUACCUAAUCAGAAAGCAACGGCUAACUACGUG